GAGUACGGAGAGGGUAGUGAAUUCCUGGUGUAGCGGUGGAAUGCGUAAAUAUCAGGAGGAACACCAGUGGCGAAGGCUGCUUACCUGGAACGUCACUGACGCUGAGGCGCGAAAGCUAGGGGAGCGAACGGGAUUAGAUACCCCGGUAGUCCUAGCUGUAAACGAUGGACACUAGGUGUUGGAGGAUCGACCCCUUCAGUGCUGUUCUGUUAACGCGUUAAGUGUCUCGCCUGGGGAGUACGGCCGCAAGGCUAAAACUCAAAGGAAUUGACGGGGGCCCGCACAAGCGGUGGAGCAUGUUGGUUAAUUGGAUGAUACGCCAAGAACCUUACCAGGGCUUGACAUGUCGCUGACGACCUGGGAAACCAGGUGUUCCGCUUCGGCGGACAGCGUCACAGGUGGUGCAUGGUUGUCGACAGCUCGUGUCGUGAGAUGUUGGGUUAAGUCCCGCAACGAGCGCAACCCUCGCCGAAUGUUGCCAGCGGGUAAAGCCGGGGACUCUUUCGGGACUGCCUGAGUAAUCAGGAGGAAGGAGAGGACGACGUCAAAUCGGCAUGCCCCUUAUGCUCUGGGCUGCAAACGGUGCUACAAUGGUCGGUACAAUGGGAAGCGAAGCCGCGAGGUGUAGCUAAUCCCCAAAACCGAUCUCAGUUCGGAUUGGGAGUCUGCAACUCGACCCCAUAAGGUGGAAUCGAUGUAU
This 700-nucleotide ribosomal RNA is filed under the name uncultured bacterium. RNAcentral describes it as "bacterial SSU rRNA". It matches the Rfam family "Bacterial small subunit ribosomal RNA", at positions 642 to 1341 of the family's 1533-position model. The record is from RNAcentral.